This 438-nucleotide ribosomal RNA is filed under the name uncultured bacterium. Its description in RNAcentral is "bacterial SSU rRNA". It matches the Rfam family "Bacterial small subunit ribosomal RNA", at positions 67 to 518 of the family's 1533-position model. The record is from RNAcentral.
CGGAAGUCCUCGGAUGGAAGUUAGAAACUAGUGGCGGACGGGUGAGUAACGCGUGGGCAACCGCCUCAUACAGGGGGAUAACAGUCGGAAACGAUUGCUAAAACCGCAUAACAUAGCGAAACCGCAUGAUUUUUGCUAUCAAAUAUUUAUAGGUAUGAGAUGGGCCCGCGUCUGAUUAGCUAGUUGGUGGGGUAAUGGCCUACCAAGGCGACGAUCAGUAGCCGGCUUGAGAGAGUGACCGGCCACAUUGGGACUGAGACACGGCCCAAACUCCUACGGGAGGCAGCAGUGGGGAAUAUUGGACAAUGGGGGAAACCCUGAUCCAGCGAACCGCCGCGUGAGUGAAGAAGUAUUUCGGUAUGUAAAGCUACUAUCAGCAGGGAAGAUAAUGACAGUACCUGACUAAGAAGCCCCGGCUAACUACGUGCCAGCAGCGGC